RNAcentral lists this ribosomal RNA (397 nucleotides) under uncultured bacterium. RNAcentral's name for it is "bacterial SSU rRNA". It matches the Rfam family "Bacterial small subunit ribosomal RNA", at positions 362 to 776 of the family's 1533-position model. The record is from RNAcentral.
UAUUGCACAAUGGGGGAAACCCUGAUGCAGUGACGCCGCGUAUAGGAAGAAGGUUUUCGGAUUGUAAACUAUUGUCGUGAGGGAAGAAAUUGACAGUACCUCAGGAGGAAGCUCCGUCUAACUAUGUGCCAGCAGCCGCGGUAAUACGUAGGGGGCAAGCGUUAUCCGGAUUUACUGGGUGUAAAGGGAGCGUAGACGGUUAUGCAAGUCUGGAGUGAAAGCCCGGGGCUCAACCCCGGGACUGCUUUGGAAACUGUAAAACUGGAGUGCAGGAGAGGCAGGCGGAAUUCCUAGUGUAGCGGUGAAAUGCGUAGAUAUUAGGAGGAACACCAGUGGCGAAGGCGGCCUGCUGGACUGUAACUGACGUUGAGGCUCGAAGGCGUGGGGAGCAAACAGG